Molecule: non-coding RNA, 23 nt
Filed under: Arabidopsis thaliana (thale cress)
Lineage: Eukaryota; Viridiplantae; Streptophyta; Magnoliopsida; Brassicales; Brassicaceae
Source: RNAcentral
AUCCGUCAGUCCUUGACUCGCCA